AGGGCUUGGAUGGAAGUAGGAUGCGUUUUCCUGGAUCGAAGGUCUGCUCUGCUGAGAGGCCGGGAGGCAGAAAGACUGGGCGGCCGUGGGCCGGCACAGACCGCGGGGAGGGGCCCCGGACGCUGGUCCCCGCCGCGGGUUUGUGCUGCGGCAGCGAGGGGACAGCUUGGGAACAAAGAUGCACGAGGGAGGAGGGCAGGAGCCUCUACCGCACAACUCCUAAAGGCGGCGGGCCUCCACUGCGACUUGGAGGGGCGUGUCCACAGGAGGAGUCCUUACUCAGGCUAAAAACAGGAGCAGCCCUCCCCCCCGGAAGCUGCCGGCUCUUCAGACUGGACAGUGUCACCCUCCUUGCGGAUGUACACCACUCAGGGACGCCAGCUCGGACAAGGCUAUUGUGAGGCUGAGUCAUGAGACAAAACUCGGCCACUUCACAGCGCUGUCUCAACACAGACAGAAGCAAGGUCGCUGCGCCACCCCCAGAAUACCACACAGCCCCUGGCUUGGCUGAAGUGAGUGACAGCUGCGGCUGUAACCAAGUGCAGCUCCGCCUUCAUUCUAGUCUGCAGAGAGGGUUUACUGAGAUGCUUUCUGACAGCAUCCAACCAGCAGCAACCCCUGCUUCCUUAGACCCUCCUGCAAACUCCCUGCCAAGCCCCUGUCAGAUCACACAUUGGCUAAGGGCACGGACAGUGGUGAGACAUGCGUGUUUGGAAAUCUGUCUGCAUCAGAGUCAUGCAGGAAUGCUGCUCACAGGAUGACCCCAGGACGGAGGGGGUUCUCAGAAGCAAGCCUUUCAGUUUUAAACCAGAGAAGUUCCCAGGUAAACCGGGGUGAGUUGGUCCCAGCUGUUGACUCUCUCCCUGAGGCUUCUGUCCAACUCUGGAGUGUUUGAGCUUCUGCUUUGCAGGUUUGGGGCUGCAGGGACAGGAAAUGACAGCCAGGAACUGCCCAAAGAGGGGAAGCCAAGAGGAGGACCCGGAAAGUUUUUAUUUUAUUUUAUUUUAUUUUAUUUUAUUUUAUUUUAUUUUAUUUUAUUUUAUUGAAGUAUAGUCAGCUUACAAUGUUGAAAAGUUUUUUUAAUGAUAACUUAUUUAUUUGUAUUUAUUUUUAAUUGAAGUAUAGUCAGUUACAAUGUGUCAGUUUUUGGUGUACAACAUAAUGUUUCAGGCAUACAUAUACAUACAUAUUCUCGUUUUCAUAUUCUUUUUCAUUAUAGGUUACUUCAGGAUAUUGAAUAUAGUUCCUUGUGCUAUGUAGAAGAAAUUUUAAAAAUCUAUUUUAUUAAAAAAAUUAUUAAAUUUUGUAACUCUCGAACUCCCAGUUUACCCCUUCCCACUCCUUUUCCUGCCAUAACUUUUAAGUUUUGAUUUUUUAGUUGUUGAUUUUUUUCCCCUAAGGGAGGUGCUGGGGAUUGAACCCAGGACCUCGUGCACACUAAGCACAUGCUCUACCACUGAGGUGUACUUCCACCUUUUAAAAAAAUUUGGUUAGCCUAUUUAUUUUUUAUUUCCAAGGAGUCUCAAAAAAAAUUUUUUUUAAAUGGAGGUGCCUGGGAUUGAACCCAUGUCCUUGUGCAUGCUAAGCACACACUCUACCACUGAGCUGUACCACGUCUCCCCUCAAGCUGGGCCCCAGAAAAUUUUAAAACACUUUAUUUGCACUCAGUUUUGAACUAGAUGCAAAUUUCAGACCUGACAGGCAGAGCUGGGCUCUGUUUCCAAACAAAAUCAAGUUACCUGAGAUACAAUCUCCUUUAAAAGGCUUCAGAAAGUCAUAACUGUAUUUAGAACUACAUGGAACUUAAGACAUUACUGCACAGGCAAUGCUAUAAAUGAGAUUAAAACAUGGCAAAUCUCAUGGGAGAGUGUGCUAAAUGACCAAAUACUCUUUCAAGUGGUAAAUGUAAUUCUCAGACACAGUAAAUAACAAAUCAUACCACAAAAGACACCUGAAGGAGGAGGCAUUCUCCUGUCCACACGCGUCAGUCUGCUCUGUGGGCGGGGAAGCUCUGCCAGGAGCGCCCUCAAGACACGGUCUCAGGAGGAAGACUUUGCAAAUGGAAUGAAACCCCGUGCAAAGCAAUUAAUGCUACUGUUAAGGCGCAGCUUACCCUCCAUCAUAACUCUGAAAAGACAUUCACUUCUGUGAAUGCACUAAAAACCGCUGAGUUGUGCACUUGCUAUAGGUGAAUAUAUAUGUGAAUUGUAUCUCAGUGAAGCUACUUUUAAAAAAUGACGCGGCCGACUUGUUCCAUGCUUUGUAAGCGGCCACCAUUGUGGGAGGCUGAGGGAGGGAACCGGACUCUACUCAUUCUGCAACUUCUGUGAGUCUCUAAUUGUUUCAAAUAAAACUUUAGUUAGAAAAAAACAUCAAUUAGUUAAUAACAAAUUUGAAUAUUUAAUAAUUAAGUUAAGAAAUUGAGAAAAUUAAAGUAUUUUGAAAGUCA
Molecule: long non-coding RNA, 2449 nt
Organism: Camelus dromedarius (Arabian camel)
Lineage: Eukaryota; Metazoa; Chordata; Mammalia; Artiodactyla; Camelidae
Exons: 2
Source: RefSeq, a predicted model, not a curated record